GCCCCUGUGGCGGAAUUGGUAGACGUGGCAGACUCAAAAUCUGCUGUCCUUCGGGCGUGGGAGUUCGAGUCUCCCUGGGGGCACCA
RNAcentral lists this transfer RNA (86 nucleotides) under Alphaproteobacteria bacterium. RNAcentral's name for it is "tRNA-Leu". It matches the Rfam family "tRNA". From Rfam's summary of the family: Transfer RNA (tRNA) molecules are approximately 80 nucleotides in length. Lineage: Bacteria; Pseudomonadati; Pseudomonadota; Alphaproteobacteria. The record is from RNAcentral.